CAGCCGCCGCGGUAAGACAGAGGAUGCAAGCGUUAUCCGGAAUGAUUGGGCGUAAAGCGUCUGUAGGUGGCUUUUCAAGUCCGCCGUCAAAUCCCAGGGCUCAACCCUGGACAGGCGGUGGAAACUACCAAGCUGGAGUACAGUAGGGGCAGAGGGAAUUUCCAGUGGAGCGGUGAAAUGCGUUGAGAUCGAAAAGAACACCAACAGCGAAAGCACUCUGCUGGGACGACACUGACACUAAGAGACGAAAGCUAGGGGAGCAAAUGGGAUUAGAUACCCCGGUAGUCCCUGUCUCUUAUAC
RNAcentral lists this ribosomal RNA (301 nucleotides) under uncultured bacterium. RNAcentral describes it as "partial 16S ribosomal RNA". It matches the Rfam family "Bacterial small subunit ribosomal RNA", at positions 509 to 807 of the family's 1533-position model. The record is from RNAcentral.